Molecule: long non-coding RNA, 231 nt
Filed under: Elaeis guineensis (African oil palm)
Lineage: Eukaryota; Viridiplantae; Streptophyta; Magnoliopsida; Arecales; Arecaceae
Description: long non-coding RNA (EGUI_LNC012321)
Source: RNAcentral
GGAUAUCCACUCAGGAUCAGUCUAGAAUAGUCCUCUUUGAAAUUGAUUUUUUUUCUCCAAAAAAAAUCAGCCUGCGAAUCUGAGCAAAGCCUGGAUCGUGAUCAACUCUUUGAUCCUUUCCUUAUCUUUUUUUUUCCUUCUCUUAUCUUUUCUUUCUUAGAUUAUGAAGCAACCAGGGAGUAGAAACCUGCAAAUAAGAGGAAUGCCCAAACCCCUUUGGAUGUGAAGGAU